RNAcentral lists this transfer RNA (62 nucleotides) under Pharyngocirrus uchidai. RNAcentral describes it as "tRNA-Trp". The record is from RNAcentral. Lineage: Eukaryota; Metazoa; Annelida; Polychaeta; Saccocirridae.
AAGAUUUUAAGUUAAUCAAACUGGUAGCCUUCAAAUCUACAAAUGGGGCCACCCAAAUCUUG